UGAAUCCAUUGAAAUGGAUGCCAAAAAACUCAUUACAAAAAGGCUCGAGUCACUUUGGUUUGUCUUAAAAUGCGCGUCUCUUGGACAGUAUCAUACAUAUCGGAGGGCAGUCGUUAAAGCUGUGAUGGAGGUGUAUGCCUGGGAUUGUUCAGAUGGUCUGAUGGUGUCUCUCCUCCUCCAUCACUUCAAGCGCAGACGCAAGUGCAUUUGAACAUUCCGACUGCAAACUCCAGCAGCUGAAUAAACACGAUUUUCCUGUGAACAGAGGAAACACAGCAGGAGCGUUUCCUGAGCACGCGGUGAAUUUCGUCAUUGGGGUCACGCAGGUCGAGAGCUCCCGACUGGACCAGGCGGUUAAAAGUGAUGAUUCAGAAUGAACCCCGUGUAUCUGUGUUCCACCUGAGGGGUCAUGGCGGUCAUGAUUCGGACUCUCCUGGAAUUCAGUGUGAGCGAGUCAAAUGUCUCACGUUAUUCUCGAGAGGAGCAAUGCUUUGGAGAUGCACGGAGACAUAAACAGCAGUUCAAGCAUUUUCACCAUCACACCGUUCUAUCCCAGUAAACUUACAUUUACCAGGAUGAAGUAAGGCCCGAGCUGCUGUGUUUCUGAGAAAGAUGAGCUGGUGGCACUACAGAACGAUGACAUCGGCCCAUUUUCUGGCUUGAGGGAGCUGAGGGCCCCAGAUUCUCUCUAACCAUCAGCAACCCCUAAACUACAAGAGACCAGCCGCAGAAUGACCAGAGAGGACAAAAGACACUCCUACCGACAUUCUGGAAAACUUGUCAGAUUGGAUUUCCAUAUAUGAUUUGAAUCAUACAGAUUCCUCAGUGGUUCUUUGUAACUUAAAAAAAUAAA
Triplophysa rosa is the source of this 853-nucleotide long non-coding RNA. RefSeq lists it as uncharacterized. The transcript is spliced from 7 exons. The record is from RefSeq and is a predicted model, not a curated record. Lineage: Eukaryota; Metazoa; Chordata; Actinopteri; Cypriniformes; Nemacheilidae.